This 495-nucleotide ribosomal RNA is filed under the name uncultured bacterium. Its description in RNAcentral is "partial 16S ribosomal RNA". It matches the Rfam family "Bacterial small subunit ribosomal RNA", at positions 28 to 507 of the family's 1533-position model. The record is from RNAcentral.
GACGAACGCUGGCGGCGUGCCUAAUACAUGCAAGUAGAACGCUGAAGGAGGAGCUUGCUUCUCUGGAUGAGUUGCGAACGGGUGAGUAACGCGUAGGUAACCUGCCUGGUAGCGGGGGAUAACUAUUGGAAACGAUAGCUAAUACCGCAUAAUAGUAGAUGUUGCAUGACAUUUACUUAAAAGGUGCAAUUGCAUCACUACCAGAUGGACCUGCGUUGUAUUAGCUAGUUGGUGGGGUAACGGCUCACCAAGGCGACGAUACAUAGCCGACCCGAGAGGGUGAUCGGCCACACUGGGACUGAGACACGGCCCAGACUCCUACGGGAGGCAGCAGUAGGGAAUCUUCGGCAAUGGACGAAAGUCUGACCGAGCAACGCCGCGUGAGUGAAGAAGGUUUUCGGAUCGUAACGCUCUGUUGUAAGAGAAGAACGAGUGUGAGAGUGGAAAGUUCACACUGUGACGGUAUCUUACCAGAAAGAGACGGCUAACUACGUG